UUUUUUUUUUCAGCUGUCUUCAUCAAAGGCAAGUUGGUUUUACAUUUUUAAGCAUUUGCUCUGAAUAAUGGAAGUAACAGCUUUAAACCCUCACUGAGAAGAAGGGCAUUUCAAAUGGCUUCUGAGACUCUGGAUCUGAUAACCAGUAUCUAAGAAUCUGGGUUUAGUUGACGAGGUCUGCAGUUCACCAAGUCCAUGAUGGGAGAAGGCAGUCAACUUUGCAGGAGCUUUUGCCCUCGGGAUUCAAAAGGACAAGGUGCAAGGAUGGUGAGACCCAGGUCAAAGUGAAAAGGCCUGCAGUUCUUCCUGAAGAGGAACUGGCGGGGAAGGCCUACCUGGGGGCAUAGUCAAUCCCUCCACUUGCUAACUUUCAAAAAUGAAGCCCCUUUCACAGAGAGAUGUCCUCUCUGCUGCAUCUUUCAAGAGAGACAUGUGCAGGUGAAAUACCAAGUGCUUUCUUUUGAUUCUCCAUCUCAUCUUAGUGACAGGGGGCAACAAUGCACUGUCUUGAGAGAAGAAGGUUCCUAUUUUAACUCAGAACAUGCUGGGGGAGGUCUACAAAGAAAGGCUUAGUACGCCUGAGCGCUUGAUUUGCAAGAUCCUUCUGAGGCUUCAAAGGAAGCAUUUCUUAAGUGUACCUCACUUUUCUGAACUUCUUCAAGGAUCCCGUUUUGCUUCGAAACCAAAUACAGUACAUCUUUACUGCUUUCUUAAGGGGAUGUUUUGGCAGGUGGUGUUUUUUAUAAAGUCAAACCACAGAAGGUAUUCCCUCCCCAUUAUUGCUUCUGGUAAUUCUCCUCACGUGUCAGCUAAAAAUAACACACGAUUUCCACAUCCAGAAUUUGGGGCUCUGACAGAUAGCCCAGAGCCGUCACAGUGUUAGUAGAACUGAAAUGCGAUUACCCUAUUUCGCAGAGACAUGUUAAGGAAAAGCAAAGAGACGUGAUUUGAGCCACGUGGCUGCCACAGAAACCAGACCUUUUCAACAGACAGCUCCCCACUCUGGUCUCUUUUGUUUCUCCAGUAGACUGGGCUCAGUUCUGAUUUGACUGGUGAGUUCCUGUCUGUACGUGCUCCUGUAUGCUCACCAGGGAGGAGGGAAGGUUGCUGUGACGAUUUUCUGGCUUUUAUUUAUCAUUUAUUGAACGCACACUAAACUGUGAUGACAGCCCUGGUUUAAGUGGAGCUCCAUAGUCACAAGUGAAUACAGUGGAGCUUAAUGAUCGCUCAAAAGCACGAGGUCUGGAAUCAGACCUCCUGGACCUAAACCUCAUCUCUGGAGAAAGGAAAAAAAAAAAACAACAACAACAACUGGGUAGGUUAUUUGCCUUGUUUAGAUUCUUGAAGAGGAUGUAAAUGCUACCUAUUCCAUUAGGAGAAGGUUAUUAAAUAUUCUAAGCGAAGUGCUUAGAAAAAUACUCAGGUCAUACCAAGGGUUAGAUGAGGGUGGCAAAUAUUAUUAUCAUUUUAAGAUUUACAUAUUUAAAACAGCACCUCGUUGGAACUGAGACAGCUUGCAAAUAUGUAACAUUAAAAAAAAAUUAAAAGGUGAGAGCCCCUCAAAAUGAUGGUAGAAAAAAAGAUGAAAUCAGCAGCAAAGCCAAUGGUCAAAAUGAAAACCCUACACUGAUUCUAUUACACUAAGAGUGACACAGAAUAACUGCUGACCCACAGACUCCAUAUGCCCAGAUUCUCUGCAUUGCUUAUGUGGGUGCUGCUUCCAGCCUCUUAUAGAAGGGUGAGGAAAGUUCAUUCCUUCCACUUGCUAAAAAGUUUAUGUAAUGUGUAUUUCUGGCAGGGCAGCAUGUGUGGGCGGCUAUGCAGGCACAUGCAUAUCUUUGCCACUCUGAGCCACACGGAUAGAAGUGGCAGUCAAGAGUUUGGAGAAGACAGGGUGUCCAUCAAAAGUACAUGAAGCAGACUGCUUUCUGUCCAUCUGUUACUUGCAAAACUGAGAAGCUGUGCUCAAUCCUGUGGAUCACACUUUUAAACGAGAAAUGAGCAAAACUGGAAUACGCUUGGAGGUGAGAGACAAGGGUGGGGGAAGAACCUCAUGAAAUGCUUAUGAAAAUGUACAACAGUUAAAAGAAAUGUGGGUGCUGGGGCUGGUUGGGGGGGUGGGGAGUACAGAGAGCUGCACUUGGCAGUUGUCUUCAAACCAAGUAAAUGCACAUACGAGGGACGGGGGAUGGAGUCACUCUGUAAAACCCUGAAAUAGAAAGAAGAGCGAUGAAAAGGAGAUGGAAGAGAUCUGUGUGGUACUCCCCAGUCAGGAAGUUCCAAAGAUGAGGUGGGCUCUGGGCUCCAUGUUACUCAUUCAGUCAAGCCAUCCAUGUCACGUCCCGGUGAUGUGCCUAUCAUCAUGGCACUAGAAAGGACGUGAUCUUCUCAUGGUGAGAAGAUCACACACUACAUCAACUCAAUGGAAAGAAAAUGAGUAAGAGGUUCCCUAAGUUUUCUCCGGGCAAAUGGUAGCUCAGGCUCAUGACAACAUCUCCCAGCUUCCCAUGCAACUAGGUUUGCCCAUGUGAGUAAAUUCUGACCAACAGGACCAGAGAGGGAACAGAAUGUAUAGCUCAAAGUACUUGCUCUUAAAGGGAAUGGGACAGACCUUUCACUUUCCUACAAACCUUCCAGCUGGAUGGAGGGUAGAGAUGGAAGAAGUUGGGGCAUCCACUUGAGAUCAUCAGACACUAAUGGACAGCAGAGUAAGGAGACAGAAGAAGCCUGGGUCUUUGACACUGGCACCACAUCAACACUAAACGAAAUGAGUGCAGAUUAUUACAUGAGGAUGAAGUCUGCUAUAUUGCUUAAGUCACUGUUACUUGGGCUACAUAUAAACAAGAUUCCAAAUACAUAUCUAUGGAUGAUUUUGUGAAUGGCAAAUCACUAUAGAAAAUCCAAGAUUCUGGCCCGCCGUCAGGAUGGCCGAGCGGUCUAAGGCGCUGCGUUCAGAAAAUCCAAGAUUCAAAGGAAAUGCAGGAACAUAAUCCACUUUGUAAAUCACUCUCCAGGGGUACAGAAUAUGCAAUGUCGGAGUUCCCGUUGUGGUGCAGUGGAAACAAAUUCAACUACUAUCCAUGAGGGUGCAGGUUUGAUCCCUGGCCUCGCUCAGUGGGUCAAGGGUCUAGCACUGCCGUGAGCUCUAGUGUAGUUCACAGACCCGGCUCAGAUCCUGCAUUGCUGUGGCUGUGGGGUAGGCUGGGAAUUUCCAUAUGCCAUGGGUGCAGCCCU
Molecule: long non-coding RNA, 3234 nt
Filed under: Sus scrofa (pig)
Lineage: Eukaryota; Metazoa; Chordata; Mammalia; Artiodactyla; Suidae
Description: lncRNA (ENSSSCG00000063421.1)
Source: RNAcentral